RNAcentral lists this ribosomal RNA (253 nucleotides) under uncultured bacterium. RNAcentral's name for it is "partial 16S ribosomal RNA". It matches the Rfam family "Bacterial small subunit ribosomal RNA", at positions 524 to 776 of the family's 1533-position model. The record is from RNAcentral.
UACGAAGGGGGCUAGCGUUGCUCGGAAUUACUGGGCGUAAAGCGCACGUAGGCGGCUUUCUAAGUCGGUGGUGAAAUCCUGGAGCUCAACUCCAGAACUGCCUUCGAUACUGAGAGUCUCGAGUCCGGGAGAGGUGAGUGGAACUGCGAGUGUAGAGGUGAAAUUCGUAGAUAUUCGCAAGAACACCAGUGGCGAAGGCGGCUCACUGGCCCGGUACUGACGCUGAGGUGCGAAAGCGUGGGGAGCAAACAGG